RNAcentral lists this ribosomal RNA (383 nucleotides) under uncultured bacterium. Its description in RNAcentral is "bacterial SSU rRNA". It matches the Rfam family "Bacterial small subunit ribosomal RNA", at positions 28 to 393 of the family's 1533-position model. The record is from RNAcentral.
GAUGAACGCUGGCGGCGUGCUUAACACAUGCAAGUCGAACGGGAAUUACUUUAUUGAAACUUCGGUCGACUUAAUUUAAUUCUAGUGGCGGACGGGUGAGUAACGCGUGGGUAACCUGCCUUAUACAGGGGGAUAACAGUCAGAAAUGGCUGCUAAUACCGCAUAAAGCGCACGGAACCGCAUGGUUCUGUGUGAAAAACUCCGGUGGUAUAAGAUGGACCCGCGUUGGAUUAGCUUGUGCAGGGUAACGCUACCAAGGCGACGAUCCAUAGCCAGCCUGAGAGGGUGAACGGCCACAUUGGGGACCUGGAGACACGGGCCCAGACUCCUACGGGAGGCAGCAGUGGGGAAUAUUGCACAAUGGGGGAAACCCUGAUGCAGCG